RNAcentral lists this unclassified non-coding RNA (355 nucleotides) under soil metagenome. RNAcentral describes it as "partial contains 5.8S ribosomal RNA, internal transcribed spacer 2, and large subunit ribosomal RNA". The stretch from base 1 to 120 matches the Rfam family "5.8S ribosomal RNA", at positions 35 to 154 of the family's 154-position model. The record is from RNAcentral.
GAUGAAGAACGUAGCGAAAUGCGAUAAGUAAUGUGAAUUGCAGAAUUCAGUGAAUCAUCGAAUCUUUGAACGCACAUUGCGCCCAUUAGUAUUUUAGUGGGCAUGCCUGUUCGAGCGUCAUUAAGUCCACUUAAGCCCUGCUUAGUGUUGGGAGACUGCUCCAGCGGUGCUACCCUGUAGCUACCCUGCAGCUCCUCAAAGACAGCGGCGGAGUUGUGGUAUCCUCUGAGCUUAGUAACUUGUUCUAGCUUUCGAGUACACCACUUCCCCUGCCGUAAAACCCUUAAUUUUUAAUGGUUGACCUCGGAUCAGGUAGGAAUACCCGCUGAACUUAAGCAUAUCAAUAAGCGGAGGA